GCCGGUCUAGUAUAGUGGUUAGUACAGCUCGUUGUGGCCGAACAAACCCAGGUUCGAUUCCUGGGGCCGGCA
Molecule: non-coding RNA, 72 nt
Organism: Candidozyma auris
Lineage: Eukaryota; Fungi; Ascomycota; Pichiomycetes; Serinales; Metschnikowiaceae
Source: the annotation of a RefSeq genome assembly